RNAcentral lists this ribosomal RNA (429 nucleotides) under Gemmatimonadota bacterium. Its description in RNAcentral is "Gemmatimonadetes bacterium partial 16S ribosomal RNA". It matches the Rfam family "Bacterial small subunit ribosomal RNA", at positions 355 to 776 of the family's 1533-position model. The record is from RNAcentral. Lineage: Bacteria; Pseudomonadati; Gemmatimonadota.
UAGGGAAUCUUCGGCAAUGGACGAAAGUCUGACCGAGCAACGCCGCGUGAGUGAAGAAGGUUUUCGGAUCGUAAAACUCUGUUGUUAGAGAAGAACAAGGACGUUAGUAACUGUACGUCCCCUGACGGUAUCUAACCAGAAAGCCACGGCUAACUACGUGCCAGCAGCCGCGGUAAUACGUAGGUGGCAAGCGUUGUCCGGAUUUAUUGGGCGUAAAGCGAGCGCAGGCGGUUUCUUAAGUCUGAUGGGAAAGCCCCCGGCUCAACCGGGGAGGGUCAUUGGAAACUGGGAGACUUGAGUGCAGAAGAGGAGAGUGGAAUUCCAUGUGUAGCGGUGAAAUGCGUAGAUAUAUGGAGGAACACCAGUGGCGAAGGCGGCUCUCUGGUCUGUAACUGACGCUGAGGCUCGAAAGCGUGGGGAGCAAACAGG